AGAUUAAGUUAUUAAGGGCGCACGGUGGAUGCCUUGGCACUAGAAGCCGACGAAGGACGUUACUAACGACGAUAUGCUUUGGGUAGCUGUAAGUAAGCGUUGAUCCAGAGAUUUCCGAAUGGGGGAACCCAGCACGAGUUAUGUCGUGUUAUCGACAAGUGAAUUCAUAGCUUGUCAGAAGGCAGACCCGGAGAACUGAAACAUCUUAGUACCCGGAGGAAGAGAAAGAAAAAUCGAUUCCCUGAGUAGCGGCGAGCGAAACGGGAAGAGCCCAAACCAAUAAGCUUGCUUAUUGGGGUUGUAGGACACUCUAUACGGAGUUACAAAGGAAUAUAUUAGACGAAUCAUCUGGAAAGUUGAAUCAAAGAAGGUAAUAAUCCUGUAGUUGAAAAUAUAUUCUCUCUUGAGUGGAUCCUGAGUACGACGGAGCACGUGAAAUUCCGUCGGAAUCUGGGAGGACCAUCUCCUAAGGCUAAAUACUCUCUAGUGACCGAUAGUGAACCAGUACCGUGAGGGAAAGGUGAAAAGUACCCCGGAAGGGGAGUGAAAGAGAACUUGAAACCGUGUGCUUACAAGUAGUCAGAGCCCGUUAAUGGGUGAUGGCGUGCCUUUUGUAGAAUGAACCGGCGAGUUACGAUCUGAUGCAAGGUUAAGCAGGAGAUGUGGAGCCGUAGCGAAAGCGAGUCUGAAUAGGGCGUUGAGUAUUUGGUCGUAGACCCGAAACCAGGUGAUCUACCCAUGGUCAGGUUGAAGUUCAGGUAACACUGAAUGGAGGACCGAACCGACUUACGUUGAAAAGUGAGCGGAUGAACUGUGGGUAGCGGAGAAAUUCCAAUCGAACUUGGAGAUAGCUGGUUCUCUCCGAAAUAGCUUUAGGGCUAGCCUCAAGUGAUGAUUAUUGGAGGUAGAGCACUGUUUGGACGAGGGGCCCCUCUCGGGUUACCGAAUUCAGACAAACUCCGAAUGCCAAUUAAUUUAACUUGGGAGUCAGAACAUGGGUGAUAAGGUCCGUGUUCGAAAGGGAAACAGCCCAGACCACCAGCUAAGGUCCCAAAAUAUAUGUUAAGUGGAAAAGGAUGUGGCGUUGCCCAGACAACUAGGAUGUUGGCUUAGAAGCAGCCAUCAUUUAAAGAGUGCGUAAUAGCUCACUAGUCGAGUGACACUGCGCCGAAAAUGUACCGGGGCUAAACAUAUUACCGAAGCUGUGGAUUGUCCGUAGGACAAUGGUAGGAGAGCGUUCUAAGGGCGUUGAAGCAUGAUCGCAAGGACAUGUGGAGCGCUUAGAAGUGAGAAUGCCGGUGUGAGUAGCGAAAGACGGGUGAGAAUCCCGUCCACCGAUUGACUAAGGUUUCCAGAGGAAGGCUCGUCCGCUCUGGGUUAGUCGGGUCCUAAGCUGAGGCCGACAGGCGUAGGCGAUGGAUAACAGGUUGAUAUUCCUGUACCACCUAGCAUCGUUUUAAUCGAUGGGGGGACGCAGUAGGAUAGGCGAAGCGUACGAUUGGAUUGUACGUCCAAGCAGUGAGAUUGAGUGUUAGGCAAAUCCGGCACUCUUAAGAUUGAGCUGUGAUGGGGAGAGGAAAUUGUUUCCUCGAGUCGUUGAUUUCACACUGCCGAGAAAAGCCUCUAGAUAGAUAAUAGGUGCCCGUACCGCAAACCGACACAGGUAGUCAAGAUGAGAAUUCUAAGGUGAGCGAGCGAACUCUCGUUAAGGAACUCGGCAAAAUGACCCCGUAACUUCGGGAGAAGGGGUGCUCUUUAGGGUGCAAGCCCAGAAGAGCCGCAGUGAAUAGGCCCAAGCGACUGUUUAUCAAAAACACAGGUCUCUGCUAAACCGUAAGGUGAUGUAUAGGGGCUGACGCCUGCCCGGUGCUGGAAGGUUAAGAGGAGUAGUUAGCUUCUGCGAAGCUACGAAUCGAAGCCCCAGUAAACGGCGGCCGUAACUAUAACGGUCCUAAGGUAGCGAAAUUCCUUGUCGGGUAAGUUCCGACCCGCACGAAAGGCGUAACGAUUUGGGCACUGUCUCAACGAGAGACUCGGUGAAAUCAUAGUACCUGUGAAGAUGCAGGUUACCCGCGACAGGACGGAAAGACCCCGUGGAGCUUUACUGUAGCCUGAUAUUGAAAUUCGGCACAGCUUGUACAGGAUAGGUAGGAGCCUUUGAAACGUGAGCGCUAGCUUACGUGGAGGCGCUGGUGGGAUACUACCCUAGCUGUGUUGGCUUUCUAACCCGCACCACUUAUCGUGGUGGGAGACAGUGUCAGGCGGGCAGUUUGACUGGGGCGGUCGCCUCCUAAAAGGUAACGGAGGCGCUCAAAGGUUCCCUCAGAAUGGUUGGAAAUCAUUCAUAGAGUGUAAAGGCAUAAGGGAGCUUGACUGCGAGACCUACAAGUCGAGCAGGGUCGAAAGACGGACUUAGUGAUCCGGUGGUUCCGCAUGGAAGGGCCAUCGCUCAACGGAUAAAAGCUACCCCGGGGAUAACAGGCUUAUCUCCCCCAAGAGUUCACAUCGACGGGGAGGUUUGGCACCUCGAUGUCGGCUCAUCGCAUCCUGGGGCUGUAGUCGGUCCCAAGGGUUGGGCUGUUCGCCCAUUAAAGCGGUACGCGAGCUGGGUUCAGAACGUCGUGAGACAGUUCGGUCCCUAUCCGUCGUGGGCGUAGGAAAUUUGAGAGGAGCUGUCCUUAGUACGAGAGGACCGGGAUGGACAUACCUCUGGUGUACCAGUUGUCGUGCCAACGGCAUAGCUGGGUAGCUAUGUAUGGACGGGAUAAGUGCUGAAAGCAUCUAAGCAUGAAGCCCCCCUCAAGAUGAGAUUUCCCAACUUCGGUUAUAAGAUCCCUCAAAGAUGAUGAGGUUAAUAGGUUCGAGGUGGAAGCGUGGUGACACGUGGAGCUGACGAAUACUAAUCGAUCGAAGACUUAAUCAAUUU
This 2926-nucleotide ribosomal RNA is filed under the name Staphylococcus haemolyticus. RNAcentral's name for it is "bacterial LSU rRNA". It matches the Rfam family "Bacterial large subunit ribosomal RNA". The record is from RNAcentral. Lineage: Bacteria; Bacillati; Bacillota; Bacilli; Caryophanales; Staphylococcaceae.